RNAcentral lists this long non-coding RNA (3405 nucleotides) under Homo sapiens (human). RNAcentral's name for it is "HSALNT0099797". Lineage: Eukaryota; Metazoa; Chordata; Mammalia; Primates; Hominidae. The record is from RNAcentral.
GUGAUGGUUAAUUUUAGGUGUUCAUUUGGCUAGGCCACAGUACCCAGACAUCUGGUCAAACACUAUUCUAUAUGUUUCUGUGCAGGUGUUUUUUCAUGGAUUAAUUUACAUCAGGAGACUUUCAGCAAAGCAGAGUAUCCUCCAUGAUCAAUGCUGGAAGCCAGGGGCUCCAGACGGCCCAGCUACAAGAUGGAAGUGGCAAGGAUCCCGCUCACCCGAGGAGAGUUGGCCUGGAGAGCUGCCUGACCCAGCCUUUAAUGAGCAAGAGGUAAACUUUUCUUACGUCACUGAGACCUUGGGGUUUGUUUCCACAGCAUGACCUGUUUUUCCUGACUCAUACAAGCCCCUGGAAGCAUCUGACUCACUAAUCCAUUGACCUUCUCUAACAUCAGCAUUUACGGAUCCUGCCAUCAAAAUUCUUCAUUCAUUAUGAGGGCUCAGUCAGUUCUCCUUAGGAUUAUUAAACCAUUAGUAAAAGUGCAUUAAAAUCAGCUUAUAAUCUCUUCCAGUGGGAUUUCACAAAUAUCACUCCAUAGCCAAAUGGUUUACCGUUCUCUUCUGACUCAGAAAAGCAUAUUGUAAUUAGAACACUUUUUGCACAAUAAUAAAAACAAAACAGCUUUCACAGGUUGCGCUGGAUGUCAAACGUGGGUAAACCACUCAAUUUUGAGCUCAGCUUGGCACAGGUUUAUUUAUUUACAGGCACUUCAAAAAGAAGGGGGUAGGCCACAUCUACAUAGCCCAGGGUGUGGAGCGUGGAUGUGUCUGUCUGUUUGUUAUGACUAAGUCUUGCUCAGUCCUAAUUCUUCCUGGUCAAAAAUUGUUAUUUUUAAAAGACUCCUUGAACACAAAACCCUUCAGAUGUGAUGGAGAUGUGGCCAAGGGAAGCAGGGAAGUGUGGUGAUGUUGUGAUGUGAAUGCAGGCUCUGAGCCCAGAUCCCAAAUCCUGACACCCACCAGCAGCUGUGCAUGUUUGAACUUAUGAACCCAUUUCCGCAGGUGGAAAAUGGGUGAGUAAGCUUACCCUCGGCCUUGUCAGGAACAUGAGAAGGCCUCAGUAGGGAGCCUGGCUAGUCCUGCCCCCAGGCUUAGCGGCGGCUCUUCCUGAAGUCCUGCUGACCGGAAGGAACGUCACAAACAUCUCCUGCCCACAGGUGAAGGAGGCCUGGGGAAGAUGGAGGAGGCGGCCCAUCUCUAGGCACCUUCCACGGAACACUGGCCCCCACACGCCAACCGUGCAACAGCCCCGUCCUGGCAGCUGAUCCCUUAGCUGUCCGGGAAUUCCAAGCACAUCUUUGGAAGAGCUAGUUGGGUCCUUUCUGGGGGCAUGGAAAGGAGGACCAAGGUCUUAUCUGACUGAGGUGAGGAGCAGACACCACGGGGAGUAGGGAAAGAGAAAACUGCAGCCCAGAAGGCGCUUCCUUUACAGAAUCCCGAGGCCAACUCAGGCAAAUGUCAAGAGCAGGAAAAGCCACCAACUUCAAUUCAAUUAAAUGCAUAGGACCGACUUUCAAGAAGGAAUAAUCUGGGUAUUGACAAGCUUGAAUUCAAGUUAAUGCAAGAGAGAGAGGUCUUGAAGGACAUUCAUUAAACUGUUCCUGGUUAUCCCUGGACGGCGGCAGUUGGGGUGAUGUUCACGUUUAUUUUACAAAAGCAAUUAAGCUACUUUGAAUAAAGGAGGAAAAGGAAACAUGAAAGAAGUACCCAAGUUCUGAGUCAGAGAUCUGACUUCAAAUCCCAAUUCCACCACCACCAGCUGUGACCAUGAGUGGUCCCAGCAUUAAUGAGGGCCUCAGUUUCUGCAUCUGCGGAACGGGAAUAACAGUAUCUACCUCCUAGGAUUAUCAAAGCUUAAAGUGGAUAAUUUAGGAUAUGCCAAACAUCUGGAAUCGGGCUCAAAAAGUGGUAAAGAAUUUUGAAGAUAUUUUUCUUUAACACUCCAAAACAACUUUCAGGGAAAGUCAUUUUUCAUGGAAGGUGCUGACUUUAUUGGAGACUGACCAUCUCCUCAUCACAGUCUACUCCAGAAAAAUCAGAGGGAGGUGGGGAAUGUUGUACCCAACUUUCUAAUGUCUCUAAGACGUGGGUGGCAAGGGUAGGCUGUUAGCACUCCAGAAUAACGUUGCUAUGCACCCAUUCAGGGCUUAGCCUCACAGCCAAACUGAGAUCCAGACCCCAGAGAAGCCGCGUGAAUCAACAGCAACUCUGCAGCCCCCGACCCCAGCCCUGGCGUCCCACUCACUGAGGCUCUGGCCAGGUGGCGGUGACUCAAACCUUCUCCAUUUUAACUUGGCAUCUCAGAGCUUCUGGACAGAGUCCACAAAUACAUGAGACAAAAAUAGGCCAGCAUACCCUCCCUUGCCAGGCCCUCAUUGUUGAGGGAUGAGAUGAGGGCUGGGCAAGCGGUUACACAGCCGAAACCAGGGCCCUAGAACCCAGCUCUGCCAGCAUGGGCGCCCCACAGCUCUGCCCACAGCGUCUGCUCUUUAUUCUUGGUUUCUCCUCUCCUUCUCUUCCACUUCCCAUUCUUUGUGAUCCAUCUUUUUCCAAAAGUUGACAGGUUGGCUGGAGACAAUUCCCCCUGCCAGCUUUUCUGUCUUUUCCACCUUUAGUUUAAGUUGUCCAUGAGGGCUGGUGAUCCAUUUUCGGUCCUCCAUACCUUCCUGGGCAAUCCCUCUGGGCCCUCACACCUCCACGCCCUCCACCCUCCCAGCUCCUUCCUCCCGGGGCCUCGAGCUUUUCCCUUUUUUCAUCCUCUGUGCACUGUUUCACCCCGACAUGUAUGUUAUUGUUUGACUGUGGCAUCAGCCAUUCUUGGAGACUUUUCCCAGGGCUUGCAAUUUUGUAGCAGAGAGAGAUUUUCUAUCUAAAGCAAAAUGCUGGUCUUGUUUAAAUAAAUAAUAAGAUAAAAGAAUCAGGCACUGUAGGGGUAUUUGGCCCACAGCCAUCCUGUCUCAGCAGGGUCCUUUUCAUUGAGGGAAGCAUUUUUCAUAUCCAUAAUUUGCCCCUUUCUCUAACCCAGGGUGCACGCUGCCGUGGCCCUUGGUGACAAUGUCCCCUGUGGCCUUCCUCCAAAGCUUGCUCCAGCAAGCUCUGACAUGGUGUCCUCCCUCCCCUUCUGGGCUGCGGCUUCUCCAACCUCCCCCAGCUCCUGCAGACAGAGGAGAAACAGCAAGUCACAAGAUAAGACAAAGACCCUCUAGGCCAGGCCACUCCUCGCUGCCACUCUGGGACAGCAAGGCAAAACGCAGACGGCCCCAGCUCUGGACGCCUCUCCUCCUCUGGACCCUAACCCUAACCCUAAGCCACUGGAACACUCACGGGAGAAAGCUGGACCUGCUUUGAGGCUCACCUCCCUGCAUGCACAUCCAUCCGGCUUCUCUCAAGAAGCAACCUGGUGUCUGA